GAUGAACGCUGGCGGCGUGCCUAAUACAUGCAAGUCGAGCGAACAGACGAGGAGCUUGCUCCUCUGACGUUAGCGGCGGACGGGUGAGUAACACGUGGAUAACCUACCUAUAAGACUGGGAUAACUUCGGGAAACCGGAGCUAAUACCGGAUAAUAUAUUGAACCGCAUGGUUCAAUAGUGAAAGACGGUUUUGCUGUCACUUAUAGAUGGAUCCGCGCCUCAUUAGCUAGUUGGUAAGGUAACGGCUUACCAAGGCAACGAUGCGUAGCCGACCUGAGAGGGUGAUCGGCCACACUGGAACUGAGACACGGUCCAGACUCCUACGGGAGGCAGCAGUAGGGAAUCUUCCGCAAUGGGCGAAAGCUUGACGGAGCAACGCCGCGUGAGUGAUGAAGGUCUUCGGAUCGUAAAACUCUGUUAUUAGGGAAGAACAAAUGUGUAAGUAACUAUGCACGUCUUGACGGUACCUAAUCAGAAAGCCACGGCUAACUACGUG
RNAcentral lists this ribosomal RNA (497 nucleotides) under uncultured bacterium. Its description in RNAcentral is "partial 16S ribosomal RNA". It matches the Rfam family "Bacterial small subunit ribosomal RNA", at positions 28 to 507 of the family's 1533-position model. The record is from RNAcentral.